RNAcentral lists this microRNA precursor (95 nucleotides) under Marmota monax (woodchuck). Lineage: Eukaryota; Metazoa; Chordata; Mammalia; Rodentia; Sciuridae. The record is from RNAcentral.
AUAAUUGUCAUCUUGGAAUCUUGUUAAAUGACAGAUUUUAAGCCUGGGCAAGGCCUCAGAAUCUUUAUUUCUAACAAAUUCUUAGGGACUGAAGU